UACCUCAAAAUUCCGCAACAGUCUGUUUCAUCAGUAAAGAAUCAUCAGGCGGUAGAUACCGCCUGAUGAUUCUUUACUGAUGAAACAGACUGUUGCGGAAUUU
Non-coding RNA from Paramuricea clavata, 103 nucleotides. The record is from the annotation of a GenBank genome assembly. NCBI's taxonomy places the organism in Eukaryota, Metazoa, Cnidaria, Anthozoa, Malacalcyonacea, Plexauridae.